This 253-nucleotide ribosomal RNA is filed under the name uncultured bacterium. RNAcentral's name for it is "partial 16S ribosomal RNA". It matches the Rfam family "Bacterial small subunit ribosomal RNA", at positions 524 to 776 of the family's 1533-position model. The record is from RNAcentral.
UACGAAGGGUGCUAGCGUUGUUCGGAAUCACUGGGCGUAAAGCGCGCGUAGGCGGCUUGCCAAGUCAGAGGUGAAAUCCCACGGCUCAACCGUGGAACUGCCUUUGAAACUGUCAAGCUAGAGUGUCGGAGGGGAUAGCGGAAUUGCUAAUGUAGAGGUGAAAUUCGUAGAUAUUAGCAGGAACACCGGUGGCGAAGGCGGCUAUCUGGACGACAACUGACGCUGAGGCGCGAAAGCGUGGGGAUCAAACAGG